Dendroctonus ponderosae (mountain pine beetle) is the source of this 385-nucleotide long non-coding RNA. RefSeq lists it as uncharacterized. The transcript is spliced from 2 exons. The record is from RefSeq and is a predicted model, not a curated record. Lineage: Eukaryota; Metazoa; Arthropoda; Insecta; Coleoptera; Curculionidae.
GGCACUAUUGGAUUUUUCGGUCAAAUAGGGACAAAAGAAAAAAUACUGUUUGGACCAACGUUUUGGCUAUAUUUUAAACCAUCUUCGGCUGAGAGAAAAGCAAAUAUGUUCCACGGACAACUACAUUGUUUGACAGUGAUUUUAAAAACAUUAUCCAGAGUAAACGAACGAAGAAAAACGGUAAAGAAUUGAGUGUUUUUAUUGUCCAGAUAAUGUGGCCCAAAUUCCCAACUAAUGCUGGUUUUAUGCACCAGGAAUAAGAAAUAACGCAUAGCGUUAUGGAUGACUAAUGACGUUUGUUUAUUCACAUGUGUUCAGUGCUCUGAUUAGAAAUAGCUUUCACAUAUUAAAAAUUACAGUAGGUAUACAGUAAAUAUUUUAUGGU